This is a long non-coding RNA of Morus notabilis, 1216 nucleotides long. RefSeq lists it as uncharacterized. The record is from RefSeq and is a predicted model, not a curated record. NCBI's taxonomy places the organism in Eukaryota, Viridiplantae, Streptophyta, Magnoliopsida, Rosales, Moraceae. The transcript has 4 exons.
CCUAAAUUGAUACUCCGCACCUUCCAACGCAACGGAAGAAGAAAUACGCUGUCGUCGAUUCUGACCACCUCUGGCCAACCCACAGUGAUCCGAGAUCAGAUCCAAGAAGCCCAUGAGCCGAUCUACAAAACCCCCAUCACCACACCGCCCGAUUCCCCGCCGAUCGGCCGGAAUUUCAGUUUGAAAUUCCUGGCCACCGCACCUUCCAACGCAGUUUUCGGUGCCUUCCGACGCCUAAUCCCCCGGAAAGUGCUUUCUUUGGACUCCUCUCGUUGAGCUGAACAAAUCCAUACCAAGUUUGCUGCCAUUGGUAGCCGGAACAGUUUCGACCACCUUCGGUUAGAUUUUUGAUAUUUUUAGAAAUUUUCUGGUAAUCGGAGCGUCAAAUGAAGAAACUGAAGGUGGGAACGAGUUUGUCUCAUCGAGAGCUUCGACAUGGUAUAUCGGGUCUUCAGAUUCCAGUACCACUACAUCGGUUGACCGGCAACAAUGACGGAUCAACAAAUCAACCCGUUGGCCUGAAAUGAGAAGAAUGCCUCCCUAGCCUAUUUUUGACGUUCCAAACGCAUUUGUAGCAUCGGAUUUUCACAAAGAGACUCCGAGAGCUGAGCAAAGAUUCAAAGUUUUGCAUUCGGAACAAACGGUUCCGUUUCUGCGAACCAAAGUUUUGUAUGUAGGGAAUGAAGACUCAUUCCUUUCUGAAGGAACUUGGCCAGCAGAGUGUGUGUAUAGCUUUCUAGACAAGUCAGUGGGCAUUUCAACCUUGUUUGAGAUUACUAAUGAUUCCUUGGUGGAUCCCACGUCCCAAAUUAUUCAAACGCGCAUCCCACUUAGUAUUCCUGGUCUUGAAGGUUUGAUGAUUCCCAUUAUCAGUCGUGGACAUAUUUUGAAAUUACUUGGGGAAAAACUGCUCUUGUACGAUGGGAGGCGACUCUAGGAUCAGUGCGGAGUAGCUGAAUAGGUUGCUACCAUCGGAUUUGGUGAGAAUUGUGAUUAUUCUCCCUGUGUACGAAUGUAAGGAUUGUAACCUCUGUAAACUCUGAAUAUUUAGAUUUCUAGACUGUGAUUGAUGUUUGUAAUGUCAUUUACAUGUUCAUGUAUGUACAAUGUUGCGUAUUCUGUGAGUGAAGCCCUGAACGGUUCAGAAAGUGCAUGCAACCCCUUGACUUUCUUGUAAUUUAUUUUCAGCAAUAUGUAAACGGAGGCUUGUUUAGGA